This is a non-coding RNA of Vicia faba (fava bean), 207 nucleotides long. Lineage: Eukaryota; Viridiplantae; Streptophyta; Magnoliopsida; Fabales; Fabaceae. The record is from the annotation of a GenBank genome assembly.
AUGAAUCGUAUUGAAGCCUCAGAGAAUUUCAGAGAGAACUCUGAAACUUCUAUGAGAAGUUUUUCUGUAGAAGUGAAAUUGUCUCCUCCUCCCUUUGGAUCUGAAGAUAAAAUCUGUUAUAUAUUAGUUGGCUUGGCUUGUCUGAGAAGCUUCUUACAGCUUGGUAUGGCAAAGGUGCAAGUGUGCAAAGUCUUUGGAGUCAUAUGA